This 315-nucleotide unclassified non-coding RNA is filed under the name Hevea brasiliensis (rubber tree). The record is from RNAcentral. Lineage: Eukaryota; Viridiplantae; Streptophyta; Magnoliopsida; Malpighiales; Euphorbiaceae.
CCGAGAUUAAGCCGAUCGGUGACACGGGCUAUAGCGGCGAUGGCGCUAUCGGGAGCUUCCGAUACAUGACGCGCGAACCCCGGCAGCCCUGCGAUUUCCGGUGUUAGAUCGUGGGUGGCCACGGCCUGCCAAGCCGCAUAAGCCAUGCGGCGCAGCCCAGAGUGCUUGGCCCUUAUCGAAGUAUCCCUCCGCCCAGGCACCAAACCGCUCACCAAUCAGGCCGGGCCAAUUGACGCCGGAGACCUCAGCCGCGAAACUCGCGAUCGUCGGGAGUGCCACGGGCUUUGGCGAGUCCGAAGUUGCGGCAGCCUUCAG